UAAAGGGCCGCGGUAUAUUGACCGUGCGAAGGUAGCAUAAUCAUUAGUUUUUUAAUUAAAGGCUAGAAUGAAUGGUUGGACAAAAGAUAGUCUGUCUCUGUGUUAUAUUUAAAAUUUGAUUUUUAAGUGAAAAAGCUUAAAUAAAAUAAAGUGACGAUAAGACCCUAUAAAGUUUUACAUUUAAUUAUGAAUAAUAUAAAAAUUAAUUAUAAAUAUAAUAUAAAAUAAAUGUUAUGUUGGGGCGACAAAAAUAUAAAAUUUAACUGUUUAUAUAUUAUAUCUAAGAUAUUAGGAUUUAAUAAAUAAUUGAUCCUUAUUUAAAGAUUAAAAGAUAAAAUUACUUUAGGGAUAACAGCGUAAUUUUUUUUGAGAGUUCAUAUCGACAAAAAUAGUUGCGACCUCGAUGUUGAAUUAAAAUUUCUUUGUGGUGUAGUUGUUACAUAA
RNAcentral lists this ribosomal RNA (444 nucleotides) under Micraspides calmani. RNAcentral's name for it is "partial 16S ribosomal RNA". It matches the Rfam family "Bacterial large subunit ribosomal RNA", at positions 1924 to 2569 of the family's 2925-position model. The record is from RNAcentral. Lineage: Eukaryota; Metazoa; Arthropoda; Malacostraca; Anaspidacea; Koonungidae.